AGAACGGUGAUGUUUGGUUUCAUCUUGUUCACGAUAGCCAAGAAUCACUGAAACAACUCAUCGGCAGACUCACCAGGCAAAUGAACAAAAUUCUCAUACUCACAACUGUAGGUCUCAAAGAACCUAGCCUUCACUUGGUUGUUUCCCUGAUGGAAACUCUGAAGUCGGGACCAAAUCUCAAGAGUAAGAGUGAGAUCCUCGACUCGAUCGAACUCAACACGACUCAGACUCGCAAACAGGAUAUCCACCGCCUUGUUGUUGGUGUGAUACGUAUCUCUGUCAUCUUGAGUCACACGAGUCACAGGAAUCACAUAGUUCACAUCCUGAGUGAUUUCCCAAACC
This 342-nucleotide long non-coding RNA is filed under the name Setaria viridis. Its description in RNAcentral is "long non-coding RNA (SVIR_LNC006839)". The record is from RNAcentral. Lineage: Eukaryota; Viridiplantae; Streptophyta; Magnoliopsida; Poales; Poaceae.